Poecilia reticulata (guppy) is the source of this 843-nucleotide long non-coding RNA. RefSeq lists it as uncharacterized. NCBI's taxonomy places the organism in Eukaryota, Metazoa, Chordata, Actinopteri, Cyprinodontiformes, Poeciliidae. The record is from RefSeq and is a predicted model, not a curated record.
ACGGGCUCCAUGUUGGGACUGUUGGAAGGUCAACGACCAUCAGGGUCACCAACAGCAACGGCUGUUAGAGAUUUAAUACAUCAUUAACAAACAGGAUUAUUUCAUCUCCAACUGAGUUAAUUUCCUGUGGCUGACUGAGCAGACAUGACGGUAAAGGAGGCGCAUCGAUAAAGACGGACCAGGUGAGCAGAUUCCUGCUCACAGGUCUGGGAGGAAGAGGAGUCAGGAGGAGGAAGGAGCUGGAAAAAAAUCCAAAUGUCUGGAUUUUCACACCGUUAAUUUAGCCGUGCAGAGCUUCGUCGCACCAUUCUCUCACUCUUCUCCGCUCCUGUCGGAAACAUGCUAAUUAGGGAAGCCGGCUGACGUGAGCGAGGUUUAAAGGUGAGCAGAAAGCGACUUUUAUCCAACCGGGCCGACGCCCUCCAUGCGCCGAGACGACGGAGCAGGAGAAGCAGGCGAAGCUUCGUGACCUCAGCUGACCUCUGAGCAGCAUAUGGCUGCACACCUGGACGGCCCGGAGGGACGGGAGACGGCUUGGACGGAGCAGAGAAGGGUGGUGCUGCCCGGACGCCCGGGGCGGUCCAUAUGCUCCGUUACUGGAUCAGAGACGGGCCAAACUGGGUCAGAGCAGAGAGGGCUCUAAUCUGGGUAAUUCAUCCUCUGAAUGCUGGAUUAUAAAUCAUUAGAAGCCCAAAACCCGGUUCUAAAUAAAUCCCGUUUAUGCAGAUCAGGAUUAGGGAGAAAAACAAUAAUUCUGACUUCUGAUCGCCGAAGAUUAAAGUCAAUAUUCUGAGAUUAAAGAGAUAAUUUUGUGAUUAAAGUAGAAAUGCUCGUUUUGAUUCU